GGUGGUUCUCGGUUGACACACCCCAGAAUUGGGCUCCCUCCUCUCUGGUUCCAGGUGCAUCACCCAAGAACCACA
Non-coding RNA from Myotis lucifugus (little brown bat), 75 nucleotides. The record is from Rfam. NCBI's taxonomy places the organism in Eukaryota, Metazoa, Chordata, Mammalia, Chiroptera, Vespertilionidae.